GACGGGGGCCCGCACAAGCAGUGGAGUAUGUGGUUUAAUUCGAAGCAACGCGAAAAACCUUACCAGGUCUUGACAUCGUGUGACAGUCUGAGAGAUCAGAUCUUCCCUUCGGGGACACAUAGACAGGUGGUGCAUGGUUGUCGUCAGCUCGUGUCGUGAGAUGUUGGGUUAAGUCCCGCAACGAGCGCAACCCUUGUUGAUAGUUACUACGCAAAGAGGACUCUAUCGAGACUGCCGUGGACAACACGGAGGAAGGCGGGGAUGACGUCAAAUCAUCAUGCCCUUUAUGACCUGGGCUACACACGUACUACAAUGGCCGUUAACAGAGGGCACCGAAGCAGUGAUGCAGAGGAAAUCCGAUAAAAGCGGUCUCAGUUCAGAUUGCAGGCUGCAACUCGCCUGCAUGAAGUCGGAAUUGCUAGUAAUCGCGGAUCAGCAUGCCGCGGUGAAUACGUUCCCGGGCCUUGUACACACCGCCCGUCACACCAUGAGAGCCGGAAGCACCCGAAGUCGGUAGUCUAACCGCAAGGAGGACGCCGCCGAAGGUGAGGUCGGUAAUUGGGGUGAAGUCGUAACAAGGGUAG
This 584-nucleotide ribosomal RNA is filed under the name uncultured bacterium. Its description in RNAcentral is "bacterial SSU rRNA". It matches the Rfam family "Bacterial small subunit ribosomal RNA", at positions 912 to 1499 of the family's 1533-position model. The record is from RNAcentral.